UAGUGCUUUUCUAAGUCUGUGUUGUGUGGGUUCCACAAGUUCUUACUUCGGUUAACUUAGCAUAAAUUGGUUUCUACAGUUGUAGCCAGAGCCCUAAUUGAUACUCAUUAUAAUGACUUGAGUGACAAAUGUGUCAACAAUAGCUAAUGGCCACAGUGGACACAGCAAGUAAAAUCUGACAGUCCUUGUUUUCAAAAGCUGCAAUCAACCCUAGUCAUUCAGCGAGGGGCAGCCUCAGAAAUGGAUUAUGCAGCCUGUUCCCUCUGCUCCUUUCCCAGAGGACCGAGUCUGCUUGAGCUGGAACCGUUGCUGACCAUGAAAAAUGUCCUCGCUUUCCUAACGCCCUGGGUCAGAUGGCCGUUCCUGGCCCCUCUCGGUUUGGAACAGGGAGAGGUUUGCAAAGCCAGCUGUUUCACUCAGCUUGGCUUAGGUCAGAAGCACGUUAAUGGGAACCCUGCAGCCGCUGAAGUAUGAGAUUUCCUGAUUAAGGAAAUGAGAGGAAAUAAGUCAUUAACUACUCUUCUACCCCCUGCCCCAACUUGGGAAAAUUUUUUUCUCGUUUUGUGAAAAUGAAAAACAGAAGAUGCUGCUGUUUGUUACAGUUCCCAGAAAUAAGAUGACAGAUCCAAGGAUGAACAUUUAACAGCUGUUUUGGAACUGAUUCUGGGAAGACACAAAAAGCUGCUUUUGGUUUUGCCACAGUUAAAAAGCACAGACUCUCUGAUUUGCACACGGUCAAUAGCAUGCAAGUGGACUCAGAGGAAUCACGCCAAGAAAAGACAAUGACAAAAAGGGAGGUUUAAUCAUCAUGACGGUUGCAAUUAGAAUUAAAUGUAAACUUAAGAGGAUCGCUUCACUCUAGUAAGAGGGCCAAGGGAAAUCUACAGUGAGUGGACCAAAUCCUCUUGCCAGAUUGCUCUCCCCACUCAAAAGAAUUUCAAUCUUUAAUAUAUUAUUAUUUGUAAAACACAGAAAAAUAAAAUAUUAUUUUGAUACCUAGUAGAAUUUCUCCUAGGAGGUCCUAACCCCCCUUUUCUGUCUCUUUCUUCUUUUCCUUUCUCUUUUUUCUGUCUUUUGUGCCUUAAAUUUUCAUAAAUCAGCCUGUUUUGAAUAGAAGCCGAGAUGGCAAGGGGUCUAAGUAGGAGCAGACCUGCCUGACAUGAGAUGAGCAAACAAAUUCAUGUUUUGAACCAUGCAGGGAGAGGAAAGAGAAAAGUAAAAUAAAGAAAAAAAAUGCAGUGAGCAAAAUAGUCAAAGAAUGUGUGUAGUGUGUGCUAUGGCUUCUGUCUAGAUGUCCCUCCAAAGCCUCGUGUGCUCACAGGUGAGGCUUUUGGUAGAUGAUUGAAUCAUGGGGUGUGAUACUCUUCAGUGAAUUUGUCCACUGAUGAGUUUAUAGCUAAGUGUGAUGUUGGGGGGUGAAGCCUGGUGGGAGGAGGUGGGUCACUGGGGGUGUGGCCUGCAAGGGUACAUCUUCCUUCUCUUCCUUGACUCCUCUCUGCUUCUUAGCACCAUGCCAUGAACUGUUUCUCCUUUGCCAUGCCACCCUGCCUUAGAGCCUGCCAAAACUAUGAACUGAAACCUCUACAAACUGUGAGCCAAAAUAAACCUUUCCUCCUUAGAGACCUAGGUGUCGAGUAUUGUGGCACAGCAGUGAGAAAGUAAAACUGUAAAACUCCAAACUUUAACAAAGUUCUAAGUCCACAGAAUGCUUAGAGUGGGAGGAAGAUUGGGGAUCUUGUGCAACAACUGAGAAAGGGUCUGACCUCUGGCAAGAGAAGGAAUCAAUAACACAUGGUGAAUGACAAAUUAGGACAAUGAAGAAGACUGGGGAAUUUUCAGGAACUGUAGGGAGGGCUGUGGAUCCUCACUGUCUGUGACACAUGGGGUUUGAGCCAAAUUUAAGUCUCUGAAGGCCAGAGAGGCUUCAGCUGAAAUAAAUGUGCAGAGAUUUGGAGGUUUCAUUUAAGCUACGUGGCUAUGAGAGGCUUGCAGUGGUUUUUCAUUGAGUCGUACCUGGAAUGAUCAAGUUUCUAUGAGGCCCAUGAAUCCUUAAUGCAUGACUUCUCAAUUCUGACUGUGUUAAGAUUGCAUCUAGUAAGUUAGAUAACACCUAUCAUCUGUCCAACCACCAUCAAUCUACCUGCUAACUCAGGCAAGGAUAAUGAGUACUUUGUACUCUGAAGGCACUGUACUAGGCACUUAGGGGCAAAGAAAUAGGUACAAUACAUAGAUUGUGAUCUGAAGGAACUUAGUCUGAUGGUGAUAACUGUAAUGGGUUGAAUUGUUCCCCUACUCUGCAAAAACAAACAAACAAACAAACCAACAACUAAUAAAGAUAUGUUCAAAACCUGG
Cavia porcellus (domestic guinea pig) is the source of this 2352-nucleotide long non-coding RNA. RefSeq lists it as uncharacterized. The record is from RefSeq and is a predicted model, not a curated record. The transcript is spliced from 2 exons. Lineage: Eukaryota; Metazoa; Chordata; Mammalia; Rodentia; Caviidae.